This 94-nucleotide ribosomal RNA is filed under the name Echinops telfairi (small Madagascar hedgehog). Lineage: Eukaryota; Metazoa; Chordata; Mammalia; Afrosoricida; Tenrecidae. The record is from RNAcentral.
GUCUACGGCCACACCUCCCUGAAUGCGCCUGAUCUCAUCUGAUUUCAGAAGAAGAGUUGUGCUUGGUUAGUACUUUGGGGUAAAAUGGUAGUUU